CCCAGCCACAGAAAUGCACUUUGGGGGUGAGGAUGUCCUAGGACCUCUGCUUUCUGCACCCACUGUCCAUGCAGGAUGUGGCUGGGGAUGGUGAGGUUCUCUCCCAAGACUGCCCCAACUUAGCAGACAGCCUAGUUCCUCAGUAGAGAGGCUAUAUCAGGUGAUGGGCUGAGCAGACACACAGUGGGCUCAUGGCCAGAGCAAGACAUGGCAGCUGUGGGCAGCAUAAGGUCCUGGGCAGCUAACUGGGUACCACCGCCUCCCACGUGCUUCUUCCUGAGCAGGCCAGUUGACCAGGAGCAAGACCAAGGCCUGGAGCCUCCACCACAGAGGACAUCCCAGCUACUGGUUACCUUCUCACUCUGACACCCACUAUCCCAUGCCCUUGCUACUGUGCCAGCCUGGAGCUCUUCGCUGCAGCCAACCAGACUCCCCACAUGGCCACUGGAUGCCACCUUCACUGCCCUGCAGCUGGACCCCAGUUACUUCUGCAGGAUGAAGAUGCUCACUGCUGGACACUGCCUGUUUUUGCUGCCCCUGCUUCUGAACUCUUGUGGUGCCACCACCAUUGUGCAGCACUCAAACUUCCAAACUCCAGAUGGACUCCAACACUGCCCACCAAGGCCCGAAUGUCAUUGCACUUUAUCCCACACCUGGUGCCCGACCCCUAUACUGAGGCUAGACCCCUGAUGCAGCUGCAUGUUGCUCCCGCCCCUGCCAGAAUCUGGAGCUCCACCCAGCUGCCACCAGACUUUAACAUGGAUACUAGACAGUGACACUCAGUACUGGGGCCAACUUCAUUGCAACUGCAGCCAGACCCUUGUCACUAUGGCAGAUGAAAACACUCAUGGCUGGAUGCAUCUGUUGUUACAACCACUGUUUCUGGAUUCUUCCACUGUCACCGCCGCCAUGAGUAGGAAGCAAGGAACUCCCAAAUCACAGCUGCAUGCCGACAACACCACAGUCACCCCCACCCCACGCCAAUUCUCAACACCUGACUUUUGAUGCCUGAUGCCCUAUGCCCAAAACAGCUGGAUGCUGCUCUUGCCACCAUAUGCCACCAUUUCAUGAUGGUGCCAUUGCAGUGAAUUGACCCCAAGGAUGCUUCUCUGCUCAAGAUGUAUAAGAGCUGGGAAACUCAUCAUUCUCCAUUACAGUCACCUCACCAAGUUCUACUGCAUGCCGCCUGCCUUUUGUCACCCCAGGACCGGCCACCAGUCCUCAGGACCCUUGAGGAGUUGUGGCUCUAACUCAGGG
RNAcentral lists this long non-coding RNA (1257 nucleotides) under Marmota monax (woodchuck). Lineage: Eukaryota; Metazoa; Chordata; Mammalia; Rodentia; Sciuridae. The record is from RNAcentral.